UGGAAGAAGGAGAAGAGGAGGCCGGCCAGGGAGUGGUGGAAGGAGGAAUUUUGUGAGGAGCUUGCUAGGAAAAAGAAGAAGAAGAUGAAGCGCCAAAAGGGGAGGGAUAAGGACUUUGGGGGAGAAAAUUGGUGGCCGACAGAUGAGGAUAUGUAUGUAGAUAGGAAGAAGAAGAGUAAGAGGAGCAGCAGAGGUGGGAGUAAGGGUAGUGUGGAUUGGUGGUUGGAUGGGCUGAGUGGUGAGCUUUGGAGAGCUCGACGCAACAGCCAUGAUUCGGCCGGUGGGGAAAUUCCAAAGAGUGGUGGUAUAAGCAGCACGCCGAGCAUGAGGGGAACGAUGUGUUAUGUUGCUCCUGAGUAUGGUGGU
This 366-nucleotide long non-coding RNA is filed under the name Vitis vinifera (wine grape). Its description in RNAcentral is "long non-coding RNA (VVIN_LNC005464)". Lineage: Eukaryota; Viridiplantae; Streptophyta; Magnoliopsida; Vitales; Vitaceae. The record is from RNAcentral.